ACUACGGGAGGCAACAGUGAGGAAUAUUGGUCAAUGGGCUUACGCCUGAACCAGCCAAGUCGCGUGAGGGAAGACUGCCCUAUGGGUUGUAAACCUCUUUUGUCAGGGAGCAAUUGGCGCUACGUGUAGCGUUAUCGAGAGUACCUGAAGAAAAAGCAUCGGCUAACUCCGUGCCAGCAGCCGCGGUAAUACGGAGGAUGCGAGCGUUAUCCGGAUUUAUUGGGUUUAAAGGGUGCGUAGGCGGAAUGCCAAGUCAGCGGUAAAAUCGCGGGGCUCAACCUCGCUCCGCCGUUGAAACUGGCGUGCUUGAGUGGGCGAGAAGUAGGCGGAAUGCGUGGUGUAGCGGUGAAAUGCAUAGAUAUCACGCAGAACUCCGAUUGCGAAGGCAGCAUACCGGCGCCCAACUGACGCUGAAGCACGAAAGCGUGGGUAUCGAACAGGAUUAGAUACCCCAGUAGUC
RNAcentral lists this ribosomal RNA (460 nucleotides) under uncultured bacterium. RNAcentral's name for it is "partial 16S ribosomal RNA". It matches the Rfam family "Bacterial small subunit ribosomal RNA", at positions 338 to 795 of the family's 1533-position model. The record is from RNAcentral.